GAUGAACGCUGGCGGCAUGCCUAAAACAUGCAAGUCGAGCGGUAAGGCCCCUUCGGGGGUACACGAGCGGCGGACGGGUGAGUAACGCGUGGGAAUCUACCCAUACUGAGGGAUAAGCAUUGGAAACGAUGUCUAAUACCGCAUAUGGUCUUCGGAUUAAAGCUUCGGCGGUUUGGGAAGAGCCCGCGUAAAGAUUAGCUAGUUGGUGAGGUAAAGGCUCACCAAGGCGACGAUCUUUAACUGGGUUUGAGAGGAUGAUCAGUCACACUGGAACUGAGACACGGUCCAGACUCCUACGGGAGGCAGCAGUUAGGAAUUUUCCACAAUGGGCGAAAGCCUGAUGGAGCAAUGCCGCGUGCAGGAUGAAGGCCCUAGGGUUGUAAACUGCUUUUAUACGUGAAGAAUAUGACGGUAACGUAUGAAU
This 424-nucleotide ribosomal RNA is filed under the name uncultured bacterium. Its description in RNAcentral is "bacterial SSU rRNA". It matches the Rfam family "Bacterial small subunit ribosomal RNA", at positions 28 to 487 of the family's 1533-position model. The record is from RNAcentral.